CAAGCUAUUAAGGGCGUAUGGGGGAUGUCUUGGCAUCAGGAGGCGAUGAUGGGCGUGGAAGUCUGCGAAAUGCCCGGGGGAGUUGACAAACAAACGAUGAUCCCGGGAUGCCCUAGCGAACGCGGUGAACUGAAACAUCUAAGUAACCGCAGGAAGAGAAAGAAAAAUCGAUUUCCUCAGUAGCGGCGAGCGAAAGGGAAAUAGCCCAAACCGUGAAGGUUUCCUUCACGGGGUUGUAGGACCGUUCACAUGGGAAGAUUACUGGGUAGCGGAACCGGUUGGAAAGCCGGGCCAUAGCGGGUGACAGCCCCGUACGCGAAACCUUCGUAAUCGCCCGAGCGGCACCUGAGUAGGUCGGGUCACGUGAAACCCCGACUGAAUCCACGGGGACCAUCCCGUAAGGCUAAAUACUACCUGAUGACCGAUAGUGAACUCAGUAUGGCGACUGAAAGGUGAGAAGAACCCCUGCUAGGGGAGGAAUGUGAACCUGAAACCAUACGCCUACAAGCGGUCGGAGCCCUAUGUCCUUCGGGAAAUGGGUGACGGCGUGCCUUUUGCAUAAUGAUCCGGCGAGUUACCGUCAUCGGCUUGGUUAAGGCCUUACGGGCCGAAGCCUCAGGGAAACCGAGUCUUAAUAGGGCGAAAUUGUCGACGGUGGUAGACGCGAACCCAGGUGAUCUACCCAUGAGCAGGUUGAAGCGCGGGUUGUACCGCGUGGAGGACCGAACCCACUUAGGUUGAAAACUGAGGGGAUGACUUGUGGGGAGGAGUGAAAGUCUAAUCAAACCUGGAGAUAGCUCGUUCUCUCCGAAAUAGCUUUAGGGCUAGCCUCGAGCAACUAUUUAACGGGGGUAGAGAUACUGAUUUGGUUUGGGGCCCUUCGCGGGGUACCCUGCUGAGCCAAACUCCGAAUACCGUUAAAACUAUCUCGGGAGUCAGUCCGCGGGGGAUAAGCUCCGCGGUCGAGAGGGAAACAACCCAGAUUACCUGCUAAGGUCCCCAAGUGAUGCUCAGUCACUAAGGAAGUUGAAUUGCAGUGACAGCCAGGAUGUUGGCUUAGAAGCAGCCAUCAUUUAAAAAGUGCGUAACAGCUUACUGGUCGAGCAGUUCUGCGCCCAUAAUGAACGGGAGUAAGCAUCACACCGAAGCAGUAGAAUCCGCCUCCGGGCGGUUUGGUAGGAGAGCGCUGUUGGUCAGAUACAAGCCGUACCGUAAGGAGCGGUGUCGGGGCCAACAGGUGAUUAUGCCGGAAUGAGUAACGAUAAGGCAGGUGAGAAUCCUGCCCGCCGAAAGCCUAAGGUUUCCUGGGGUAGGUAAUUCCGCCCAGGGUUAGCCGGUGCCUAAGUCGAGGCCGAAAGGCGUAGACGAUGGAUAGCAGGUUAAUAUUCCUGCGCCGGCCGUGUGGACCGAUGGAGGGACGGCGUUUGAAUGGUGAGGGGACGAUUAGAAAUGUCCCUGGCCGCAAGGCUAACCCCGCAUACGUUGGGUAUGUCAUCUGAAGGACGUCCAAGAAAAGCUCCUAAGGGUUGAAGCACGGUUGACCGUACUAAAACUGACACAGGUAGGCGAGACGAGUAGUCUAAGGCGCUCGGGAGAACACUGGUUAAGGAACUCUGCAAAAUGGCCCCGUAAGUUCGCGAUAAGGGGCGCCCACGCAAGUGGGCCACAGUAAAUCGAUUCCUCCGACUGUUUAUCAAAAACACAGGUCUCUGCUAACACGUAAGUGGAUGUAUAGAGACUGACGCCUGCCCGGUGCUGGUAGGUUAAGGUAAGAGGUUAGUUUCAUUACGAAGCUUCUGACCGAAGCCCCAGUAAACGGCGGCCGUAACUAUGACGGUCCUAAGGUAGCGAAAUUCCUUGUCGGGUAAGUUCCGACCUGCAUGAAAGGCGUAACGAGAGGAAUACUGUCUCAACCAGUGACCCGGUGAAAUUGUAGUCGUGGUGAAGAUGCCACGUUCCCGCAGCUAGACGGAAAGACCCCGUGAACCUUUACUGUAGGCUGAUAUUGGGCUGUGGUAUGUACUGUGUAGGAUAGGUGGGAGGCUUCGAACUCCGGGCGCCAGCUCGGAGGGAGCCGUUGGUGAAAUACCACCCUUUGCAUGCUUUAGUUCUAACGCUGAUUCCCGUGAAUCCGGGCAGCGGACAGUGUCAGUUGGGCAGUUUGACUGGGGCGGUCUCCUCCUAAAGAGUAACGGAGGAGCCCAAUAGGUACCCUCAGCCUGGUUGGCAAUCAGGCAUCGAGCGUAAAGGUAGAAGGGUGCUAAACUGCGAGACUCGUCAGUCGAGCAGGUACGAAAGUAGGGCUUAGUGAUCCGGUGGUCCCGAAUGGAAGGGCCAUCGCUCAACAGAUAAAAGGUACUCCGGGGAUAACAGGCUUAUCGCUCCCGAGCGUCCAUAGCGGCGGAGCGGUUUGGCACCUCGAUGUCGGCUCAUCACAUCCUGGGGGUGAAGAAGCUCCCAAGGGUUUGGCUGUUCGCCAAUGAAAGUGGUACGUGAGCUGGGUUCAGACCGUCGUGAGACAGGUCGGUCCCUAUCUACUGUGGGCGCACGAAACUUGCGAGGGUUCUUCUUUAGUACGAGAGGAUUUAGAAGGACGACCCUCUGGUGUUCCUGUUGUCGCGCUAGCGGCACGGCAGGAUAGCUAAGGUCGGAACGGAUAAACGCUGAAAGCAUCUAAGCGUGAAGCCCGCCUCAAGAUUAGGUUUCGUUGGUCAAUGACCGAAAGUCCCCUGGAAGACGACCAGGUUGAUAGGCCGGAUGUGUAAGCUCAGCAAUGGGUUCAGCUAACCGGUACUAACGGACGAACGC
Molecule: ribosomal RNA, 2808 nt
Filed under: Pseudobythopirellula maris
Lineage: Bacteria; Pseudomonadati; Planctomycetota; Planctomycetia; Pirellulales; Lacipirellulaceae
Description: Planctomycetes bacterium Mal64 23S ribosomal RNA
Rfam family: Bacterial large subunit ribosomal RNA
Source: RNAcentral